UUUCGUUUCUAUAGUAACGUGAACAGUAUUCAGAAGCAAGACUGUUCUGCUGCACUGUAACUAACGCCUGAGGCUAGAACUUGGAUUCUUCUUCAAAUAACGAAAUAAGUGCAUUCCUCAUUCGCUCAGUUGCCUAUCGACACAAAUAUUUUCACCCUUUCUCUUCUAAAACUACGUUUCCAGACGUCGAGCGCUGGGACAGUACAACACAGCAUCUAAUACCGGAUUACAGAUUGAAGUGGAUGGGAAAGAAGUGAGGCAGGCAUCGCCGCCUGCCCUAUAAAUUAUCA
Molecule: non-coding RNA, 290 nt
Organism: Zootermopsis nevadensis
Lineage: Eukaryota; Metazoa; Arthropoda; Insecta; Blattodea; Termopsidae
Source: RefSeq, a predicted model, not a curated record